AUCUUCCACAAUGGGCGAAAGCCUGAUGGAGCAACGCCGCCUGAGUGAAGAAGGUUUUCGGAUCGUAAAUCUCUGUUGUCAGUGAAGAACAAGUACAGUAGUAACUGGCUGUACCUUGACGGUCUCUUAUUAAAGAGCCACGGCUAUCUACGUGCCCGCAGCCGCGGUAAUACGUAGGUGGCAAGCGUUGUCCGGAAUUAUCGGGUGUAAAGCGCGCGCAGGCGGUCUGUUAAGUCUGCUGUGAAAGCCCACGGCUCAACCGUGGAGGGGCAUUGGAAACUGGGGGACUUGAGUGCAGAAGAGGAAAGUGGAAUUCCAAGUGUAGCGGUGAAAUGCGUAGAGGUUUGGAGGAACACCAGUGGCGAAGGCAACUUUCUGAUCUGUAACUGACGCUGAGGCGCGAAAGCGUGGGGAGCAAACA
This 421-nucleotide ribosomal RNA is filed under the name uncultured bacterium. RNAcentral describes it as "partial 16S ribosomal RNA". It matches the Rfam family "Bacterial small subunit ribosomal RNA", at positions 361 to 774 of the family's 1533-position model. The record is from RNAcentral.